UACGAAGGGGGCUAGCGUUGCCCGGAAUCACUGGGCGUAAAGCGCACGUAGGCGGAUUGCUAAGUCAGGGGUGAAAUCCUGGAGCUCAACUCCAGAACUGCCUUUGAUACUGGCGACCUUGAGUCCGGGAGAGGUGAGUGGAACUGCGAGUGUAGAGGUGAAAUUCGUAGAUAUUCGCAAGAACACCAGUGGCGAAGGCGGCUCCCUGGCCCGGUACUGACGCUGAGGUGCGAAAGCGUGGGGAGCAAACAGG
RNAcentral lists this ribosomal RNA (253 nucleotides) under uncultured bacterium. Its description in RNAcentral is "partial 16S ribosomal RNA". It matches the Rfam family "Bacterial small subunit ribosomal RNA", at positions 524 to 776 of the family's 1533-position model. The record is from RNAcentral.